AAGAAAAAUUUGUUCAGCAUAUGAGUGGUAGAUACGACCAAAGCUACAUCUCUCAGCAAGUCAGUGCUCCAGCUUAAGCAACAAGAAAAAAAAAAGCUCUAUAUAGAACUGUGACAAACAUAGUUACUGCAUGGAACUAAGAAAAUGAUGUUUGUAGCGUGUAGAAGCUAGAAAAGAAAGAUGAAAUCAAUUUAAACUUUUUCAAAACCAAUAGCUAGACUGAGACUGUUCAGUCCUGAAUAUAUAUGUGUACAUAUGUGUAUGUACACAUAUAUACAAACAUUGGGUUCUCAUUUUGUUUUGGAAAGGUGAAGCUGGUCACCCCCAGAGUUAAUGGGAAAAUAUGUGGGAUUAGAAAUUGUGCCCCAGUAUUCUGGGACUCCUGCCCAAGCCACAGUGAUGGCUUUUCCCCUCUUAUGAUUGCUGCUGUACUGAAAUUUACCAUCAGUCAGCCAUAGAACAGAGCAACUCCCAAGGUUCCAGCUACUACAGUGACUCAUUUGGUGUGUCAUCAUUCCCUGGAGAAUGGAGGUACCACAUCAAAUCAUGGCCCAUCCUAAAGUCUAGUGCCACUGAAAUUUACAGCCACAGAACUGAAUUAAUCAAGAGGAACAACAACAACAAGAGUUCUCUUCCAAAAUGAUAGCUUUUUUGUAGCUCUGAAAUGAGAGGAACCCAAUCCAGAAGAAUCCACAGAAGGAGGAAAAGCCAGCAGAAAGGCAGCAGAUUAGACACAAAAUUGUAAUUGUUAGUACGCAACUGAUAAAUACAAAAGGGCGAAGAGAAUGUCAAUCCAGAAUGAUGCAAAUCCCUUCAUUAUUACUCUCGUUAAAGGACUGCUAAUGAUCAGCAAAUAGCCAAAGGCAGAGGAGUCAAUCCAAGAUCUCUUCGGUUCUUUCCUAAUCAGAACACAGAUUUACAAAGAUGACACAACUGUCCGGAGGUCACACUGAAAUUAUAGACAGAGCUGGAGUUCUGAUUUCUGAAAGUCCUAUUCUCAGUCACUAUGCUAAAUGAGCCUCUAAGGGACAUACCAGGGAUACAACAGCCCUUUUAAUCCGGAAGAACGAGGGGCUGAAGGAAAUAAAAAGUAAGCCUGAACCAGACCAGAGAAUUAAAAUGGUAUGCGUUUAAGUUUGGUU
RNAcentral lists this long non-coding RNA (1142 nucleotides) under Homo sapiens (human). RNAcentral's name for it is "HSALNT0316157". The record is from RNAcentral. Lineage: Eukaryota; Metazoa; Chordata; Mammalia; Primates; Hominidae.